UGGCGCAAUUGGUUAGCGCGUCUGACUGUUAAUCAGGAGGUUGGAAGUUCGAGCCUUNN
Molecule: transfer RNA, 59 nt
Filed under: Penicillium chrysogenum KF-25
Lineage: Eukaryota; Fungi; Ascomycota; Eurotiomycetes; Eurotiales; Aspergillaceae
Description: tRNA-Asn (GTT) (tRNA-Asn-GTT-1-1)
Rfam family: tRNA
About the family: Transfer RNA (tRNA) molecules are approximately 80 nucleotides in length. Their secondary structure includes four short double-helical elements and three loops (D, anti-codon, and T loops).
Source: RNAcentral